CACAGGUUCAACCUAGUACUUAUUAAGGGUAUUUAAAGAGCAUUAGCAGAGCGCCUGGGUGACUCAGCGCCCCAAGCAUCCAACUUUUGAUUUCGGCUCAGGUUGUGAUCUCAUGGUUUGUGGGCUUGAGCCCCAAGUCCGGGUCUGUGCUGACAGCACGAAGCCUGCUUGGGGUUCUUACUCUCCCUCUCUCUCUGCCCAUCCCUUGCUCACACUCUCUCUCUAAAUAAAUAAACA
Molecule: long non-coding RNA, 237 nt
Organism: Neofelis nebulosa (Clouded leopard)
Lineage: Eukaryota; Metazoa; Chordata; Mammalia; Carnivora; Felidae
Exons: 2
Source: RefSeq, a predicted model, not a curated record